RNAcentral lists this ribosomal RNA (293 nucleotides) under uncultured Pseudomonas sp. Its description in RNAcentral is "partial 16S ribosomal RNA". It matches the Rfam family "Bacterial small subunit ribosomal RNA", at positions 1257 to 1533 of the family's 1533-position model. The record is from RNAcentral. Lineage: Bacteria; Pseudomonadati; Pseudomonadota; Gammaproteobacteria; Pseudomonadales; Pseudomonadaceae.
GCGAGGUGGAGCUAAUCCCAUAAAACCGAUCGUAGUCCGGAUCGCAGUCUGCAACUCGACUGCGUGAAGUCGGAAUCGCUAGUAAUCGUGAAUCAGAAUGUCACGGUGAAUACGUUCCCGGGCCUUGUACACACCGCCCGUCACACCAUGGGAGUGGGUUGCUCCAGGAGUAGCUAGUCUAACCGCAAGGGGGACGGUUACCACGGAGUGAUUCAUGACUGGGGUGAAGUCGUAACAAGGUAGCCGUAGGGGAACCUGCGGCUGGAUCACCUCCUUAAGCUUGGAUCCCGGGA